Molecule: long non-coding RNA, 1040 nt
Organism: Cygnus olor (mute swan)
Lineage: Eukaryota; Metazoa; Chordata; Aves; Anseriformes; Anatidae
Exons: 9
Source: RefSeq, a predicted model, not a curated record
ACUCUGAGGCUCAGCUACACCACAGGCUUUAAGGGAAGACAGUGAGCCAGUCAUCUGCUUGAAGCUGGAAGUGUGCCCAACAGAUCUCCUAAGUCAGGGCCGCAUUCAGUACGGAAACAGCCCCAACUUUGCCACUGCCCCUGGUUUCAGCGGAUUAGCCAGGACACGGACUCGGAGCUGUUGUUCUUGAAAGUGGAUGCAUCUCUUGACAGCUCUUCUAGUUAAUAAGCAAUGGACUAUGCAGAGUUCCACCUCUGCAAUGACCACAUCUUAAAUCACUGCCUGCAGUAUCCAUUGUCACCUCCCUUCCACCAUAUCUAAGAUGGUAAUGACAGUCCCAGAUGUGAGAAGCCUGAGCCUCCAAGUCAAGAGUUUUAGUCUCAGCUGUUGGCAAAUUGGAAGUUCUGGACAGGUGUGAGCUGUGGAGGAAAUGGAACCAUCUGUGAAAUCAUGACAUCUGAUAGAAACAUCCAGCCUUCCUCUUGGUUUACUACCUGGGUAAAAAAGAGAAAGAAUGAAACAUUCUCCAGCGCUACAUAGCUUCAGAACAUCCUCUAGAAAAGGAGCAAGCUCUAGAAGUGACUGCACUCUCUACGGUGCUGCGUUACAAAUAGCUCCAGACACAGCUCUGCAGAUGGAAUGUGCCUUGGCUUUUACUGGUUCCUCAUUGUCCUAGGAAACAAGACAUCAAUACUGGAUCUCAGGAACAGAAGGCUUAAUAUCUGAGAUCUCGUAUUAGCAUGACCAGAGCUGGCCAAGCAAGUCAUGAACCCCAGCGAACAUGGAGCUUAAAAUACGUAGAGGUGAAAAAGAGCAAAAAGGAAAAGGAGGCUCAGCAGACAACCAAGGAUGAUGACACAGUGAAGAAACCAUGCAACGCUGUCUGAAGAGAAACAGUUCUUUUAGGGCAGGUCAUCACAGCGAUGUGACCCACUUGUGCUGCCAUUCUGUUUCCUGGAGGAGACAAAGAAGGAGAAGGAUGUGUGAAAAGGUGCCCAAGGAUGUCACUCGCAGCCUUGGAGUUCUGGUCUGUGCUUCGG